CACGUAGGGCGCGAGCGUUGUCCGGAAUUAUUGGGCGUAAAGAGCUCGUAGGCGGUUUGUCGCGUCUGCUGUGAAAACUGGAGGCUCAACCUCCAGCCUGCAGUGGGUACGGGCAAACUAGAGUGCGGUAGGGGAGAUUGGAAUUCCUGGUGUAGCGGUGGAAUGCGCAGAUAUCAGGAGGAACACCGAUGGCGAAGGCAGAUCUCUGGGCCGUAACUGACGCUGAGGAGCGAAAGCAUGGGGAGCGAACAGG
RNAcentral lists this ribosomal RNA (253 nucleotides) under uncultured bacterium. RNAcentral's name for it is "partial 16S ribosomal RNA". It matches the Rfam family "Bacterial small subunit ribosomal RNA", at positions 524 to 776 of the family's 1533-position model. The record is from RNAcentral.